Molecule: unclassified non-coding RNA, 331 nt
Filed under: fungal sp.
Lineage: Eukaryota; Fungi
Description: partial internal transcribed spacer region
Rfam family: Eukaryotic small subunit ribosomal RNA (bases 1-46)
Source: RNAcentral
AAGUCGUAACAAGGUAUCCGUAGGUGAACCUGCGGAUGGAUCAUUAUCAUACUAUCCAAUGUAUAAACCAAAACAAUGUGAACUGUUAUAGUUGCCUUUGAGUUAGAUCAUUAUGGGAGAAUGUGAUUCGAUCGUUAAGUGAAAGUCGAUCAUUCUCUUUAAUCUUACUCAAAGUGUAUUUUCUAUUUCACUUUAAUUAACCAAUUAAACCAAUUUAAUUAUUUUAUUCUAUGUGUGAACUGAAUUGUUUUCUUACUCUUUGAAUAAAGGAGAAGAAAAUUCAAUUUACGAAACAUAUGAACAACUCUUAGCAACGGAUAUCUUGGUUCUC